CGGGUGAGUAACGCGUGGGGACCUGCCUUGGGGUACGGAACAACUCAUGGAAACGUGAGCUAAUACCGUAUACGUUCUCUCUUCAUAGAGUUGAGAGAAGAAAAAUUUAUUGCCCUUAGAUGGACCCGCGUUAGAUUAGCUAGUUGGUGAGGUAAUGGCUCACCAAGGCGACGAUCUAUAGCUGGUUUGAGAGGAUGAUCAGCCACACUGGGACUGAGACACGGCCCAG
RNAcentral lists this ribosomal RNA (229 nucleotides) under uncultured bacterium. Its description in RNAcentral is "partial 16S ribosomal RNA". It matches the Rfam family "Bacterial small subunit ribosomal RNA", at positions 103 to 334 of the family's 1533-position model. The record is from RNAcentral.